This 253-nucleotide ribosomal RNA is filed under the name uncultured bacterium. Its description in RNAcentral is "partial 16S ribosomal RNA". It matches the Rfam family "Bacterial small subunit ribosomal RNA", at positions 524 to 776 of the family's 1533-position model. The record is from RNAcentral.
UACGUAGGUGGCAAGCGUUGUCCGGAUUUAUUGGGCGUAAAGGGCUCGCAGGCGGUUUUCUAAGUCUGAUGUGAAAUCUUGCGGCUUAACCGUAAGCGGUCAUUGGAAACUGGGAGACUUGAGUGCAGAAGAGGAGAGUGGAAUUCCAUGUGUAGCGGUGAAAUGCGUAGAGAUAUGGAGGAACACCAGUGGCGAAGGCGACUCUCUGGUCUGUAACUGACGCUGAGGAGCGAAAGCGUGGGGAGCAAACAGG